CCAAAAAACCAAAAAAAAAU
This 20-nucleotide small RNA is filed under the name Arabidopsis thaliana (thale cress). Its description in RNAcentral is "ATSL181240". The record is from RNAcentral. Lineage: Eukaryota; Viridiplantae; Streptophyta; Magnoliopsida; Brassicales; Brassicaceae.